GACUGCUUCCCCGCUGUUGGGACUCGCCGUAGAUCUCGUUCCAUGCCAAUUCCCAAUUUAAUAGCAAACAAGAUAAAUCUAGUCUAUUACUCACCAUUACACCCGAAUUUUUGGGUGUAUUGGUCCAUUUCACAGACGGACAU
RNAcentral lists this small nucleolar RNA (143 nucleotides) under Eremothecium gossypii ATCC 10895. RNAcentral describes it as "Ashbya gossypii ATCC 10895 Small nucleolar RNA snR80". It matches the Rfam family "Small nucleolar RNA snR80". The record is from Rfam by way of RNAcentral. Lineage: Eukaryota; Fungi; Ascomycota; Saccharomycetes; Saccharomycetales; Saccharomycetaceae.